GGCACUGUGGCGGAGUGGUUAACGCGACAGAUUAGAAUUAUCACACAACGAGUAAUUCAAAGAUCUGUUCCUCUUGUAGGGCGCAUGUUCGAGUCAUGCCAGUGUCG
This is a non-coding RNA of Mycena latifolia, 107 nucleotides long. Lineage: Eukaryota; Fungi; Basidiomycota; Agaricomycetes; Agaricales; Mycenaceae. The record is from the annotation of a GenBank genome assembly.